GCAGAUAGAUCUCCAAUCCUGGUCACUCCUAGUCUGCCCUUGGGGAUCUUAAAUUUAGUUAACACAUUUCCAUCCUUUAUUCUUUUAGAUUCAGGCAGGAAUGAGCCUUUGAGCAGGACAGCUGCUUGCUCUGAGUAGGCAAUGUCCAUGUUGAACACCUCCUCUUUUCCAGGGUUUCGAACUGUGCAGGAGUAAUCCUGGCUUUCUGGUUUCUGAACAUUUGCAGUCCGUAGAUUGUGCAGCAGCAGGUCUGGGCUGGGCUCCUCUUUUUCUUUUCCCGUCUCCCCAGAGCCGACCACUCCAAAAAUGUCUCUGACAUCCCUCACAGGAGGUUUGUUCUUCCUCCUCCGUGAGCGGGAGUAGGUAUCCAGCCUCCGCUGCACGGCAGCAGCCUGGGUCUUCGUCAGGGUGGAGAGCAGCGCGUUGUCGCUUUCUGAGCCAUGGUCCCCAAUGAGGUCUGAGAGCCCCGCGUCCUGGAGCCACUCCGCUUCGGCCUCUCCCUCCUCUUGUGUUUUGACAUCUGCAAGGGCGCAUUCCUCUUGCUCGGCUUCAGAGCUCUGUUUAAUGUUCUCUACUUCCAGCCAAAAGCUCUCCAUCGGCAAGUUGUCUCCCCUGGAAGUCGUGUCCUCUGACAAUGGGGAAGCCAAAGGGCUCUUCUGAGGAAGCUGGCUCAUUUUGCAAGGACAAUUUCUGGUACUGCUCAUCUCAGUUUCCCAACUCCUUCCCCGCGGGCUGGCGGCCGCCUCCGCACAUUGCGGCUCCUUUGUGAGCGGAGCCCACCGCGGUAGCCGAGCUGCUGCACGCUGUGGCUCCCUGCUCGGAAGCGGCCCCUCCGCACGCAGAGACCGCGCGGAAAAAGGGAAAAAACACCGAGACCACCAACCAGCGCUCUUCUCCCCGGCGCCCGGACGCGCU
This 915-nucleotide long non-coding RNA is filed under the name Gallus gallus (chicken). The record is from RNAcentral. Lineage: Eukaryota; Metazoa; Chordata; Aves; Galliformes; Phasianidae.